AUGCAGUCGACGCGAAAGUUCCCUUCGGGGGAUGAGUAGAGUGGCGUCCGGGUGAGUAACACGUAGGUAAUCUACCUUUGGGUGGGGAAUAACGCAGGGAAACUUGCGCUAAUACCGCAUAAUGCAGCGGCACCACAUGGUGACAGUUGUUAAAGCGGGGGAUUUUCGAACCUCGCGCCUAAAGAGGAGCCUGCGGCAGAUUAGCUAGUUGGUAAGGUAACGGCUUACCAAGGCAACGAUCUGUAGCCGGCCUGAGAGGGCGGUCGGCCACACUGACAUUGACAUACGGGUCAGACUCCUACGGGAGGCAGCAGUCGGGAAUUUUGGGCAAUGGGCGAAAGCCUGACCCAGCAACGCCGCGUGAAGGAUGAAAUCCUUCGGGAUGUAAACUUCGCAAGAAUGGGAAGAAUUAGUAGGGGUUAAUACCCCCUAUGAUGACGGUACCAUUUGUAAGCUCCGGCUAACUCCGUGCCAGCAGCCGCGGUAAUACGGGGAGAGCAAGCGUUGUUCGGAUUUACUGGGCAUAAAGGGCGCGUAGGCGGUCAGCACAAGUCAGUUGUGAAAUCUCCGGGCUUAACUCGGAAAGGUCAACUGAUACUGUGCGACUAGAGUGCGGAAGGGGCAACUGGAAUUCUCGGUGUAGCGGUGAAAUGCGUAGAUAUCGAGAGGAACACCUGCGGCGAAGGCGGGUUGCUGGGCCGACACUGACGCUGAUGCGCGAAAGCCAGGGGAGCGAACGGGAUUAGAUACCCCGGUAGUCCUGGCCUUAAACGAUGGAUGCUUGGUGUCUGGAGUUUUAUAGUCUCCGGGUGCCGUAGCUAACGCGUUAAGCAUCCCGCCUGGGGAGUAC
This 850-nucleotide ribosomal RNA is filed under the name uncultured bacterium. RNAcentral describes it as "bacterial SSU rRNA". It matches the Rfam family "Bacterial small subunit ribosomal RNA", at positions 55 to 883 of the family's 1533-position model. The record is from RNAcentral.